Oncorhynchus kisutch (coho salmon) is the source of this 2058-nucleotide long non-coding RNA. NCBI's taxonomy places the organism in Eukaryota, Metazoa, Chordata, Actinopteri, Salmoniformes, Salmonidae. The record is from Ensembl.
CAUAGUAUUGUCUCUAAGUGGAAUCUAUACCCAUAGCAUUGUCUCUAAGGGGAAGCUGGUCCCAUAGCAUUGUCUCUAAGGGGAAGCUGGUCCCAUAGCAUUGUCUCUAAGGGGAAGCUGGUCCCAUAGCAUUGUCUCUAAGGGGAAGCUGGUCCCAUAGCAUUGUCUCUAAGGGGAAGCUGGUCCCAUAGCAUUGUCUCUAAUUCCUGGUGGGCUGUGUCGUUUGUCUGCAGAUUUUUUCUCUUUCCUUUCGACAACCAGGUGAAAGGAGUCCCUAACUAAUCAAUGACCUUAAUUGAUCAAUCAAGUAUAAGGGAGGAGCGAAAACCCUCAGAAACUCCUCCCUCCAGCAACUAAGUGUGCCACACCCCCAAAGGAUUUAUCCCAAUGGAAAGUGUUCAACCUCUUACUUAGACACCCUCGGACCAAAACACUAGGAUCUCGGCCGUUAAAUUUUUUUUUUUAUUAAAACAGGAAGUCCCAUUGACGUCAGAAGUGCUAGCCUGGUCCCAGAUCAGUUUUGGGGUCUCUAAUAGUUUCCUGGCGCAGUUUUACAUUGAUCUAGAGAUUAAAUCCAAAGAAAACGGACGAAGAAAUACACCUGAAAGACCUAGAAGAAAGAAAGGAAGGAUGAUGGUGGAGGGGGAGAACCAGAGAGGGGAGACCCUCAUACCCAGCGAGGGAGAGGGGUCUGGUGGACAGGAGGCCAUCCACAUGGUAAGAACUACCAGGUAUCCAGGACACUACUGAGUGUUGAUGAUAAUAUGUUUGGGACAAGAAGAGGACAUAUAAAAACUGCAUUCUUGAAAAACAACAAAACCCGGAGUCUCUCUAUGGUCUCCUCUGGAUAUUCUUCCAGAAUCAAUUUGGGUAAAUAGGAAAAUAUUUAAAAGUGACCAUUGGAGAGGUUUCCAGAUCCCGGAGUCUACUUGAACAAUAUGAACAAUGUGUUUAUGUUAAAUAUAGUAUGUAAUAUUAUUAUAACACUGUAUCAUGUUAAGGAUAUCAGUAUUUAGUGCUUAUCAGCUUCAUACUAUCUAGAACGGAUGAGUAACAUCACUGGUUCAUUCAGCCUGUCUACUGUUCUGAUCAGUGUAUUUAUGAGAUAAGAGUACCAUUGUCCAGUGAUUUGUCCAGUGAUGUCAGGUAAAGGGUGUGGCACAAUGAUGUCAUCAACAGGUGACUCACCUGUGGCACUGAAGUAGCAAACGCACACACACACCUCCCCGUCUCUCUGUCUGCUAACCACUCUGUCUGCUAAACUCCCCGUCUCUCUGUCUGCUAACCUCCCCGUCUCUCUGUCUGCUAACUUCCCCGUCUCUCUCUCUGCUAACCUCCCCGUCUCUCUGUCUGCUAACCUCCCCGUCUCUCUGUCUGCUAAUCUCCCCGUCUCUCUGUCUGCUAAACCUCCCCGUCUCUCUGUCUGCUAAUCUCCCCGUCUCUCUGUCUGCUAACCUCCCCGUCUCUCUGUCUGCUAACCUCCCCGUUCUCUGUCUGCUAAUCUCCCCGUCUCUCUGUCUGCUAAACCUCCCCGUCUCUCUGUCUGCUAAACAUCCCCGUCUCUCUGUCUACUAAACCUCUCUGUCUGCUAACCUCCCCGGCUCUGUCUGCUAACCUCCCCGGCUCUGUCUGCUAACCUCCCCGUCUCUCUGUCUGCUAACCUCCCCGUCUCUCUGUCUGCUAACCUCCCCGUCUCUCUGUCUGCUAACCUCCCUGUCUCUCUGUCUGCUAACCUCCCCGUCUCUCUGUCUGCUAACCUCCCCGUCUCUCUGUCUACUAAACCUCUGUCUGCUAAUCUCCCCGUCUCUCUGUCUGCUAAACCUCCCCGUCUCUCUGUCUGCUAAACCUCCCCGUCUCUCUGUCUGCUAAACCUCCCCGUCUCUCUGUCUGCUAAACCUCCCCGUCUCUCUGUCUGCUAACCCUCUCCGUUUCUCUGUCUACUCUCUCUCUGUUUUGUCUUUCUUCUUUUUGCUUACACACACACACACACACACACACACACACACACACACACACACACACACACACACACACACACACACACACACACACACACAC